Molecule: transfer RNA, 83 nt
Filed under: Lentinus tigrinus ALCF2SS1-7
Lineage: Eukaryota; Fungi; Basidiomycota; Agaricomycetes; Polyporales; Polyporaceae
Also listed under: 1 other name
Description: tRNA-Lys
Rfam family: tRNA
About the family: Transfer RNA (tRNA) molecules are approximately 80 nucleotides in length.
Source: RNAcentral
GCCCGCCUAGCUCAAUCGGAUAGAGCGUCAGACUCUUAAAGGCGGGUAUCUGAAGGCUGCGAGUUCGACCCUCGCGGUGGGCU